CAGAUGUAAGAGAAAGAGGAAGAGAUCUCAAACAUCCUUCUUCUACCGAUUAUCUCUAAUCUAACCUCAAACAUCCUUAUCCUCUUUUUUAAAUUUUUAUUUAUUUCCAUUCAUGGGGGGAAAAAUUAAAAAUGAAGGAACACUUAUUGCUUUGUAUAUUUUGUGGAUAAACGAUUGCUUCUAGGGAACUGGGUUUACCAUGUUAAACUCUAUGCAUUGGCUAAAUCAUAAAAUACUAAAGCAAAUUUUGCUUUAACAUGCUACAUGAAUACUUGUUUCUCCUGAAGAAGGCACGGGGGCAACAAUAUCUGAUGAUAAUGAUGAUCAAGUAUAUAGCGGCACCAACAUUUUCAAUGGAAGUUUUGAUGAACAGCAAACGCGAGCUGAAACAAAGCUGCCUCGAGCAGCACUACUUUGAACACUAGGAAGCUCGACGAAGAGAUAGAGAAUCUUUCUCAUGAGUAUAUUUUAAAGUCGAGCGUGCACGUGUAUAUAUAUCUGACUCAUUUACUUCUUUUAAAUUCCUUGUACAUUUUCUGAAUGAAUUUUACAAUUCAUUUAAACUUCUUUCCACAUCGAGAUGAUAUAUGUGUUGAUACACCUA
This is a non-coding RNA of Camellia sinensis, 604 nucleotides long. Lineage: Eukaryota; Viridiplantae; Streptophyta; Magnoliopsida; Ericales; Theaceae. The record is from RefSeq and is a predicted model, not a curated record.